CGCGAAAGUGGAGCAAUCCAUGAGUAGAGUGGCGAACGGGUGAGUAACACGUGGGUGACCUACCCUCGAGUGGGGGAUAACAUCCCGAAAGGGGUGCUAAUACCGCAUGACAUCCUGCCUUUGAACAGGCGGACAUUAAAGCCGGGGAUCGCAAGACCUGGCGCUCGUGGAGGGGCCCGCGCCCGAUUAGCUAGUUGGUGAGGUAAUGGCUCACCAAGGCUACGAUCGGUAUCCGGCCUGAGAGGGCGGACGGACACACUGGGACUGAGACACGGCCCAGACUCCUACGGGAGGCAGCAGUGGGGAAUUGUUCGCAAUGGGCGAAAGCCUGACGACGCAACGCCGCGUGGAGGAUGAAGAUCUUCGGGUCGUAAACUCCUUUCGAUCGGGACGAAUGAUCGGUGACCUAAUACGUCAUCGGAAUGACGGUACCGAGAGAAGAAGCCCCGGCUAACUCCGUGCCAGCAGCCGCGGUAAUACGGGGGGGGCAAGCGUUGUUCGGAAUUACUGGGCGUAAAGGGCGCGUAGGCGGCCUUCUAAGUCGGACGUGAAAUCCCUCGGCUUAACCGAGGAACUGCGUCUGAUACUGGAAGGCUUGAAUCCGGGAGAGGGAUGUGGAAUUCCAGGUGUAGCGGUGAAAUGCGUAGAUAUCUGGAGGAACACCGGUGGCGAAGGCGGCAUCCUGGACCGGCAUUGACGCUGAGGCGCGAAAGCUAGGGGAGCAAACGGGAUUAGAUACCCCGGUAGUCCUAGCCCUAAACGAUGAGUGCUUGGUGUGGCGGGUAUCGAUCCCUGCCGUG
RNAcentral lists this ribosomal RNA (800 nucleotides) under uncultured Pseudomonadota bacterium. Its description in RNAcentral is "bacterial SSU rRNA". It matches the Rfam family "Bacterial small subunit ribosomal RNA", at positions 67 to 845 of the family's 1533-position model. Lineage: Bacteria; Pseudomonadati; Pseudomonadota. The record is from RNAcentral.